Sugiyamaella lignohabitans is the source of this 113-nucleotide transfer RNA. It matches the Rfam family "tRNA". From Rfam's summary of the family: Transfer RNA (tRNA) molecules are approximately 80 nucleotides in length. Their secondary structure includes four short double-helical elements and three loops (D, anti-codon, and T loops). Lineage: Eukaryota; Fungi; Ascomycota; Dipodascomycetes; Dipodascales; Trichomonascaceae. The record is from Rfam.
GGCCCGAUGGUUUAGGGGUAUAAUACUCGCUUAGGGCAAUGCAUUUGUUAUCAAUUGCUUGAAAACUCUAAGUCGUUUGCGAGUGGUCCCGGGUUCGAUUCCCGGUUGGGCCC